UACGUAGGGUGCAAGCGUUGUCCGGAAUUAUUGGGCGUAAAGAGCUCGUAGGCGGUUUGUCGCGUCUGCUGUGAAAACGCGAGGCUCAACCUCGCGCCUGCAGUGGGUACGGGCAGACUAGAGUGCGGUAGGGGAGAUUGGAAUUCCUGGUGUAGCGGUGGAAUGCGCAGAUAUCAGGAGGAACACCGAUGGCGAAGGCAGAUCUCUGGGCCGUAACUGACGCUGAGGAGCGAAAGCGUGGGGAGCAAACCGG
RNAcentral lists this ribosomal RNA (253 nucleotides) under uncultured bacterium. RNAcentral describes it as "partial 16S ribosomal RNA". It matches the Rfam family "Bacterial small subunit ribosomal RNA", at positions 524 to 776 of the family's 1533-position model. The record is from RNAcentral.